This 458-nucleotide ribosomal RNA is filed under the name uncultured bacterium. Its description in RNAcentral is "partial 16S ribosomal RNA". It matches the Rfam family "Bacterial small subunit ribosomal RNA", at positions 338 to 795 of the family's 1533-position model. The record is from RNAcentral.
CCUACGGGAGGCAGCAGUGAGGAAUAUUGGUCAAUGGGCGAGAGCCUGAACCAGCCAAGUCGCGUGAGGGAGUACUGCCCUAUGGGUUGUAAACCUCUUUUGUCGGGGAGCAAAAGCCGGACGUGUCCGGCUGUGAGAGUACCCGAAGAAAAAGCAUCGGCUAACUCCGUGCCAGCAGCCGCGGUAAUACGGAGGAUGCGAGCGUUAUCCGGAGUUAUUGGGUUUAAAGGGUGCGCAGGCGGAUUUGUAAGUCAGCGGUCAAAUCGUGGGGCUCAACCCCAUCCUGCCGGUGAAACUGGGGAUCUAGAGUGUGCGAGAGGUAUGCGGAAUGCGUGGUGUAGCGGUGAAAGGCAUAGAUAUCACGAAGAACUCAGAUUGCGAAGGCAGCUUACUAAACUGCCACUGACAUGGAUGCUCGAAAGUGUGGGUAUCAAACAGGAUUAGAUACCCGAGUAGUC